UUGCACUCUUAAACCUCUUUCUUGCUUUUCUUUUAAGUUUGAGAGACAAAAAAGAGUGCGAGACUAUCUGUGAAUUCCAAGGUUGUUGGCAUUGCUUGUUUCCAACCAUUUCACCUCACAUACAAGA
Small nucleolar RNA from Scylla paramamosain (green mud crab), 127 nucleotides. RefSeq annotates it as small nucleolar RNA SNORA14. Lineage: Eukaryota; Metazoa; Arthropoda; Malacostraca; Decapoda; Portunidae. The transcript has a single exon. The record is from RefSeq and is a predicted model, not a curated record.